UNUGGUCUGUCACUGACGCUGAGGCUCGAAAGCGUGGGUAGCGAACAGGAUUAGAUACCCUGGUAGUCCACNCCGUAAACGCUGAGUGCUAGGUGUUAGGUCCUUUCCGGGANUUAGUGCCGACGCUAACGCAUUAAGCACUCCGCCUGGGGAGUACGACCGCAAGGUUGAGACUCAAAGGAAUUGACGGGGGCCCGCACAAGCGGUGGAGCAUGUGGUUUAAUUCGAAGCAACGCGAAGAACCUUACCAGGUCUUGACAUCCCGAUGCCCGCUCUAGAGAUAGAGUUUUACUUUUUGUACAUCGGAGACAGGUGGUGCAUGGUUGUCGUCAGCUCGUGUCGUGAGAUGUUGGGUUAAGUCCCGCAACGAGCGCAACCCUUAUUGUUAGUUGCCAUCAUUAAGUUGGGCACUCUAGCGAGACUGCCGGUAAUAAACCGGAGGAAGGUGGGGAUGACGUCAAAUCAUCAUGCCCCUUAUGACCUGGGCUACACACGUGCUACAAUGGUUGGUACAACGAGUCGCAAGCCGGUGACGGCAAGCUAAUCUCUGAAAGCCAAUCUCAGUUCGGAUUGUAGGCUGCAACUCGCCUACAUGAAGUCGGAAUCGCUAGUAAUCGCGGAUCAGCACGCCGCGGUGAAUACGUUCCCGGGCCUUGUACAC
RNAcentral lists this ribosomal RNA (661 nucleotides) under uncultured bacterium. RNAcentral's name for it is "bacterial SSU rRNA". It matches the Rfam family "Bacterial small subunit ribosomal RNA", at positions 728 to 1388 of the family's 1533-position model. The record is from RNAcentral.